This 1471-nucleotide ribosomal RNA is filed under the name uncultured bacterium. RNAcentral's name for it is "bacterial SSU rRNA". It matches the Rfam family "Bacterial small subunit ribosomal RNA". The record is from RNAcentral.
AGAGUUUGAUCCUGGCUCAGAAUCAACGCUGGCGGCGUGCCUAACACAUGCAAGUCGAACGCGAAAGAAUUCUUCGGAAAUUGAGUAGAGUGGCGAACGGGUGAGUAACGCGUGGGUCACCUGCCCCGAGAUGGGGGAUAACCCGGGGAAACCCGGGCUAAUACCGCAUAAGCCUUACGAGGGAAAGCCUUAGGGUGUCUUGGGAGGGGCCUGCGUCCGAUUAGCUAGUAGGUGGGGUAAGAGCUCACCUAGGCGUCGAUCGGUAACCGGUCUGAGAGGACGGACGGUCACACUGGGACUGAGACACGGCCCAGACUCCUACGGGAGGCAGCAGUGGGGAAUUUUGCGCAAUGGGGGAAACCCUGACGCAGCAACGCCGCGUGGAGGAAGAAGGUUUUCGAAUCGUAAACUCCUGUCCGGAAGGAAGAAAAAAAUGACGGUACUUCUGGAGGAAGCCCCGGCUAACUCCGUGCCAGCAGCCGCGGUAAUACGGGGGGGGCGAGCGUUGUUCGGAUUUACUGGGCGUAAAGGGCGCGUAGGCGGUGAGAGAAGUUUUGGGUGAAAGCCCCCGGCUCAACCGGGGAAGUGCCUGGAAAACCAUCUGACUGGAGUGCUGGAGAGGCAAGCGGAAUUUCUGGUGUAGCGGUGAAAUGCGUAGAUAUCAGAAGGAACAUCGGAGGCGAAGGCGGCUUGCUGGACAGACACUGACGCUGAGGCGCGAAAGCUAGGGGAGCAAACGGGAUUAGAUACCCCGGUAGUCCUAGCCGUAAACGAUGGGUACUUGGUGUAGGGGGUUUUGAAAGUCCCUCUGUGCCGGCGAUAACUCGUUAAGUACCCCGCCUGGGGAGUACGAUCGCAAGAUUGAAACUCAAAGGAAUUGACGGGGGCCCGCACAAGCGGUGGAGCAUGUGGUUUAAUUCGACGCAACGCGAAGAACCUUACCGGGGUUUAAACUGUGGUGGAAGUUAGCAGAGAUGUUGAUGUCUCUUCGGAGACUGCCACAGAGGUGCUGCAUGGCUGUCGUCAGCUCGUGUCGUGAGAUGUUGGGUUAAGUCCCGCAACGAGCGCAACCCUUGUCUGUAGUUGCCAUCAGGUUAAGCUGGGCACCCUACGGAGACUGUCGGCGAGAAGCCGGAGGAAGGUGGGGAUGACGUCAAGUCCUCAUGGCCUCCAUGCCCCGGGCUACACACGUGCUACAAUGGGCGGUACAAAGAGCAGCCAACUCGCGAGAGUGAGCGAAUCUCAGAAAGCCGUUCUCAGUUCGGAUUGCAGUCUGCAACUCGACUGCAUGAAGUUGGAAUCGCUAGUAAUCGUGGAUCAGCACGCCACGGUGAAUACGUUCCCGGGCCUUGUACACACCGCCCGUCACAUCACGAAAGUGGGCUGCACUAGAAGCCGCUGAGCUAACCCAUUGGGAGGCAGGCGUCGACGGUGUGAUUCAUGAUUGGGGUGAAGUCGUAACAAGGUAACC